AUUAAUCCUUUUAUGUCAAAUUCCCUAAUAGAAGUAUAAGGAAAGAAUCUAUAAUUUCAAUGUAAAGUAAUAUAUUCUACUAAUAGUAUAAAGAGCGGGUAUAACUAUCCCCAAUUGAUAGUCGUGCCAAAACCAGGAAUUCAAGGAAAGAUAAGACUGUGCCAUGAACCUCAAAGUGAGGGAGUUUUAUUUGUAAAUACUUAACAAACUCUUGCUUACAUAUAUUUAUUUAUUUUAAGGCUUUGUACUUCUUACUGUUGACUAACUAUUUCUUCCUUGCUUGUUGAUUUCUGACUUUUGCAUAUUAUGCAUAGAUGUAUUUGCAUUUAUACCCCAUGCAUAGUUUUCUAAAUGUUUAUGGUUUCAGUCACUAUUGCUUGGGUUAGAAAAGAACAAAGACUCAUACGCGAUCAAAUAGAAAUUGUAGGAAUUAGCUCUGCUGAUUUUUAAGCCCUUCAAGCUGAUAGGAUUAUUAUGAAAAAGCAUAUGAAAAACCUAAUGGAAAUGACCUAGCAAUAAUUAAACCUUCUAAAGCCACUCCUAUUGGGAGUAGCUCAAGAGAAUACAACCAGAAGUGGUAUUGCUCCAACUAAUACUACUAGUGCCACUAUUCAUCAAUAGUUUCCCAUCACCUUGGAUUUCACUACUCCUACUGUGGACAAGGACAAAGGAAAUAGCGGUAAUCCUUUUGAAUUCGUCAAUGGUGAUGAUGAAGUGCGAGUUCUUCCAAAUUCUUGGCCAAAACCUACCAGCUCAUCUCCUAUGCCUUCAACGGAAAAUCCUCAACUCAAGAAAAUCAAGAAGCAGAUGGAAAACAUGUGAUGCUCAAGAUAAAAGGAUAGAAAGCCAUUGAGGACAUUGAUGAGUCCAUCCUCCACUAUAUGAAGGGAAAAGUGAACCUCCCUGAUUUAAUGGUUCAUGCGAUCCUCAUGCCUUCUUGAACUCAUAUUGCACCAAUAUGUCCACUUACUCCAAUCUGACUAGGCAGUAGAGUGUCCAAUACUUCUGUCUCUUCCUGAUUGGAGCUGCUGCCCGCUAGUAUUGGCAGCUGGAUGAGAAAAUACGAGAAGACUGGAAGGAUAUAUGUAGGCCAAUAUUGGUACAAUACCGAGGUGGAAGUGGGCACCCAAGACUUGCAGCCACAAGGUAGCUCUCCAAUAAGAC
This 1164-nucleotide long non-coding RNA is filed under the name Ricinus communis (castor bean). Its description in RNAcentral is "long non-coding RNA (RCOM_LNC000658)". Lineage: Eukaryota; Viridiplantae; Streptophyta; Magnoliopsida; Malpighiales; Euphorbiaceae. The record is from RNAcentral.